UCCCUGGCAGUCCAGGGGUUAGGACUCUGCGCUUCCACUGCAGGGGACACAGGUUCGAUCCCUGGUUAGGGAA
This 73-nucleotide transfer RNA is filed under the name Ovis aries (sheep). It matches the Rfam family "tRNA". Rfam says of the family: Transfer RNA (tRNA) molecules are approximately 80 nucleotides in length. Lineage: Eukaryota; Metazoa; Chordata; Mammalia; Artiodactyla; Bovidae. The record is from Rfam by way of RNAcentral.